GGGUCAUUUUGAUCAUUUUUAAUGACAAAAAUAGAGGUGGAUCAAAGAGCAGGGACACUCGAGGCUCCAGUGAUAAAACCUUGGCUUCGACGAGAGGGUCCUGCAAGGAGGCACACGCUGGCUCCGGCUAUCCACGUGGACCUGGGGCCCGAGGGCCACCCCGGCUGACGUGGCGGGGCCCCCGAAGCUCCUCUUCCUGCUCUCCCCACCCUCACCGCCGCCGCAGGAAAGCAGCCCCCAGCCCCAGCGAGGUCCUCCCUGGGAACCAUCUUGUAGGUGAAAAUAAAGCAGCACUUUCAUCCAAGGAGCUCAGCACAAUCACUGAAAGCACAUGAAAUCACUUAGACCUGGGAGCCCGCAGCCCCCUUGGCUUAAUUACACGGCGGGCCGGGCUCUGCUGAAAGCAAUUAGAUCUGAGAUCCCCGGCGGAGGCACGCGCACACUGCCCCGCUCUCCACGAGCCGGCUGUCGUCCACACCCGCCCGCCCUCUCUCAGACGCCUUCUAAGGAUGGAGGCCUUGUGAAUUAGCUGUUUGUUCAGGUGGUUGAAGGCUCCCAGGGCCCGAAGGACAGAGCAUGAAGUUUCCUUCCCUCCUGUCCUUCCUCCAAGCCGCCAAGCUCCCCGCACGUGACCAGGGCCGGCCAUCCCUUUGGUGUCCUUCCGAAACCAGCGACGCCAUAAAUCCAUCCGUUUGAACAUAGCCUUUCUUCCAGAAGGCAAUCGCUUUUCCAACAGCGGGACUAUGAGCGUCCUAUGUCAUCUGCUGGUGUAAACAGCCAACCACUUCCCCCUGGACAAACAAGUUUGCUGCCGGCAGGAGAGCUCCCUGUUGAAAAUCAAAUAAAGCGCUUGAUUCCAGAUGAGAGCAUUUGGUUCCAGGUACCGCUCACUCGGUGAGCCGGGGCCGUCGCGCCCGGAGCUGGCUAAUGAGCAGGCGUGCGAUCCCCACCUCCCAGAUCACAACCCUGAAAGGCCCUUUUGUGGCGGGGAGGGGCCAGACCCCAGCCACAAUGCUCUCUUGUCAGAAGGGCCUCCUGGAGCUGCCAUGAGAGGGGGGCAGCUCUGCAAAGCAAAGCAGAGGGAAGGCAGUGAUUUUGUGGGGGCACCAGGUGGUGCUGUGCCCGCCACUUUUCGCCGACAGAGAAACAGGGCUUCCCUGGGGGACAUGGCAGCCAGGAUGAAAUUCAGAUCUGCGGUUCCAGCUCAAUACUACGUUAGAUGAUGGAGCAUAUUUGUUUAUCCACUCAUCCACUAAUGAACACUGGCUCUGCUUCCACCCACGGAUGUGCAAAUAUCUCUUCAAAACAUUAUCGUCGGUUCUUUUGGAAAUAUACCCAGAGGUGGGGUUCCCUGGAUGUUUUUAUGUGCACUUCCUCAAGAGUCCUAGUGAGGCUAGGCCCAUUUUCAUAUUCUUCGUGGACAAUCCAUGCUGCGUUUGACACAACAGUUAUGCGUGGUAUUGUUGCCUCUGUGUCUGCCUAGCCAUGACAUCACACACCGAUUGGCCACGGAGAAGAUGUCUGGCAAGUUCUGGCACAGGCCCUGGCCCCUUGCAGGGACUCAGUGAAUGUAUGUGUCUUCCUUAUUAUUUGCUGAAUAAAUGAAUGAAGGGGGUGAGCUGGAGUAGGGAGACAAAGGAAGAGCUACACCUCCCACAAAAGGCAAUUUCAUUUUCCAUUGUGAAAAUGAAGUGAGCCUCAAAGACAACGGGAUGGGGCGGGUGCUUGGUUUUGGGGUCUGGCAGGAGGAUCUGAAACAAACAAGGCAAGCAGGACCUUGCCAGGGAGUGGAGGCAGCCUCGUCAUCCUGCAGACAGUGACCUCACUGAGCUUGCUGGCUGCCUAACAUCCCAAAGAAGAGUGGUGCUGGAGCUGCCUGCGGGCCCCCGAUGGCCGUGGACAAGCUACUCUAGGGGGUGUCUGGCCCCACUCUGCACAGGGCUGUCGGCUGGACAGCGUUGCAGCUUCUCAACAAGCACAGCACACUGACAGCCGCCCAGGUGGUGUGUGGCGUCUAAGCGAUCUGUCAACGCAGUUCCCCUCAGCUCUGCACGGGAAGUGGGUCAGCAUCUCAGAGGACAGAGCUGGACCCCUGCCAUGCUGGGGUGCCAGCUGGUGCACAAGGAGAAGGCUAAGCUGGUGACGGCCCAUGGCUGCUAUGCCCAAGGACCCAGGUCAGUGUGAAGGCCAAGGGCUUUCCCAGGCCAAGAUCCAUCACCCCUCCUCCAGCAAAUGCCAGGCAGCCGAGGAGUCAGGAGAAGCUGAGCCUGUCCCCAGAAUGCCAGUCCCCUCCUUUGCAGACACGGUCUGUCAGCCGGCACCUCCUUUCCCCCUUCUUUCAUGGUAAUCGAAUUUUCCGCUCAGCAGUUGGCCACUGUCCGCAAAGAAUCCACUUCCAGACUUCCUUGCCGCUAGUUGUGGCCACGUGACCAGGUGCUGGUGCGAUGACGGCACGACGUGCCCUCCAGGGAAGCGGCGCCAAGCAGUGAACGAGCAGAGCAGACAGGCCCCGAGAAACCAAUACACACGCUGACCGCGGGGAACCUGGGCGGCCGUGCCAUCAUGUACACCAACCUCAACACCAGCCCUGGGGGUGCCCGCCCCUCAACCCUGCCCCUGCGUCCUUCCCCUGCCCAGCACUGGACUCGCUCAUGUGGAGCCAUGCACACGGGGGCAGCAGUCUAUGGCUGGCUGACAAACCAGAGAAACUACAGUUCUGGCCCCCGACACCAUGGACCUGCCCCUCAGCCCCACACGCUGUGUGGGACACCACCCACGGGCGGGCUUUAGCUUCUCCCUCGUUUAGACACACGGCAUCUGGACCUUUAUGGCCGCCGCCAAGCCCACACCUGCAAACACAUCUUCCACCCUCUCCUCCCCGCCCCCACACUCCAGCUUUGCUUUCCAGGCAAAUGAGAUGGGACAGUUUCUUCUACAACUUCCACUAUCUCAGUGCAGCUGGGGGCCUUUGAAUGGCUAUUGAUGGUCGGUGAUGAUCCCUCAAAAUGAAAUGUCCGUGUCCUAACCCCUGAAACCUGGGAAAGUGACUUCAUUUGGAAAAAGGAUCUUUGCGCGUGUAAGUUAAGAGUCUUGAGACUGGACUGGGGUGGCCCUAAAUCCUGGGACAGUGUCCUUAUAAGUGACAGAAGAGAACACACAGAGAAGAGGGGAAGCCAGGUGAGGACAGAGGCAGGGACCAGGCAAAGCAGCCAUAAGCCGAGGAUUCCUGGAGCCCCCAGGAUCCAGGAGAGGCAGGAGGGACCCUCCCCUGGAGCCUCUGGAGGGGGCAUGGCCCCUAGGGGUGUGUAUCUGACACCCCAUCAAUACCCCAACUGCAGACUUUUGGCCUCUCUGGGAAUGACUCCUGCUGCUUUACGCCACCCUGCUUGUGGUCCUUUGUUUCAGGGCCACGGGACACUCACACACUGGUUACUACUGCUCUCUGCCACCUUGGAGGUCUCUGUCUCCUUUCUGCAGAAGAUGUGUGGUUCCAUGUAAAAAGCAGGGGACAAGUGACCCAGGGACUUGCUACCAGCCCCAAGGCUCUCAGAUCCCUGCUUCUCCAAUGGCAUCUACCACCCCACACCCCAUCAGAGUCGACUCUGAGGACCUUGGUCCCAUGCCUGGCGGCCUUACUUCACUGCUCUCCGGCUUCCCUUCUCAAUGCUGGGGCCUGAGUGUGACCAAGUAGCCCCGCCACCUGGGCUCAAGUGACCCUCCCCCCACCC
Bos taurus (domestic cattle) is the source of this 3728-nucleotide long non-coding RNA. The record is from Ensembl. Lineage: Eukaryota; Metazoa; Chordata; Mammalia; Artiodactyla; Bovidae.